UUCCGGUUUCGUCCCUCAGUUUCUUCAUGGUUUUUCUGCUUUAGUGGGAUUGUGCAGUAAAUUGGCCAUUUUGCCCUUCAUCAUAGGUGCUGCGCGUGCCUGCCUGUUUGCUUCUAAGCGAUGUUGACACGUUAGUCUGAUUCGAAGAGUUCUCCACCGUUCCUUUUCGUUUUUGGUGAGGAAGGUGCUCGAAGGCUCUUCAAUUUUCUUCCGUCGUUUUUUCCUUUCUUUCCUCUCUGUGCUUUUCUCCCUGCGUUAACCCUUCGUGUUUCCCUGCUUCUCUCGCCGCGUCAAUCAUCGAUCGUGUGUUGUGUGAAGAGUUUCUUUUUCCGGCUGAUUGUACUGUUUCAGGAAAAUUGGUGUGCGAAUUUUAGGGGUUUUUUGUACAACCUUGCAAACCCCUGAUUAAGGUCUG
Pyrus x bretschneideri (Chinese white pear) is the source of this 415-nucleotide long non-coding RNA. RefSeq lists it as uncharacterized. The transcript has 2 exons. NCBI's taxonomy places the organism in Eukaryota, Viridiplantae, Streptophyta, Magnoliopsida, Rosales, Rosaceae. The record is from RefSeq and is a predicted model, not a curated record.